UUUAUGGAGAGUUUGAUCCUGGCUCAGGAUGAACGCUGGCGGCGUGCCUAAUACAUGCAAGUCGAGCGAACGGACGAGAAGCUUGCUUCUCUGAUGUUAGCGGCGGACGGGUGAGUAACACGUGGAUAACCUACCUAUAAGACUGGGAUAACUUCGGGAAACCGGAGCUAAUACCGGAUAAUAUUUUGAACCGCAUGGUUCAAAAGUGAAAGACGGUCUUGCUGUCACUUAUAGAUGGAUCCGCGCUGCAUUAGCUAGUUGGUAAGGUAACGGCUUACCAAGGCAACGAUGCAUAGCCGACCUGAGAGGGUGAUCGGCCACACUGGAA
This 328-nucleotide ribosomal RNA is filed under the name Staphylococcus aureus. RNAcentral describes it as "bacterial SSU rRNA". It matches the Rfam family "Bacterial small subunit ribosomal RNA", at positions 1 to 318 of the family's 1533-position model. Lineage: Bacteria; Bacillati; Bacillota; Bacilli; Caryophanales; Staphylococcaceae. The record is from RNAcentral.